GAUGAACGCUGGCGGCGUGCCUAAUACAUGCAAGUCGAGCGAACAGACGAGGAGCUUGCUCCUCUGACGUUAGCGGCGGACGGGUGAGUAACACGUGGAUAACCUACCUAUAAGACUGGGAUAACUUCGGGAAACCGGAGCUAAUACCGGAUAAUAUAUUGAACCGCAUGGUUCAAUAGUGAAAGACGGUUUUGCUGUCACUUAUAGAUGGAUCCGCGCCGCAUUAGCUAGUUGGUAAGGUAACGGCUUACCAAGGCAACGAUGCGUAGCCGACCUGAGAGGGUGAUCUGCCACACUGGAACUGAGACACGGUCCAGACUCCUACGGGAGGCAGCAGUAGGGAAUCUUCCGCAAUUGGCGAAAGCUUGACGGAGCAACGCCGCGUGAGUGAUGAAGGUCUUCGGAUCGUAAAACUCUGUUAUUAGGGAAGAACAAAUGUGUAAGUAACUAUGCACGUCUUGACGGUACCUAAUCAGAAAGCCACGGCUAACUACGUG
This 497-nucleotide ribosomal RNA is filed under the name uncultured bacterium. RNAcentral describes it as "partial 16S ribosomal RNA". It matches the Rfam family "Bacterial small subunit ribosomal RNA", at positions 28 to 507 of the family's 1533-position model. The record is from RNAcentral.